RNAcentral lists this ribosomal RNA (253 nucleotides) under uncultured bacterium. Its description in RNAcentral is "partial 16S ribosomal RNA". It matches the Rfam family "Bacterial small subunit ribosomal RNA", at positions 524 to 776 of the family's 1533-position model. The record is from RNAcentral.
UACGUAGGGGGCAAGCGUUAUCCGGAUUUACUGGGUGUAAAGGGAGCGUAGACGGCGAUGCAAGCCAGAUGUGAAAGCCCGGGGCUCAACCCCGGGACUGCAUUUGGAACUGUGUGGCUGGAGUGUCGGAGAGGCAGGCGGAAUUCCUGGUGUAGCGGUGAAAUGCGUAGAUAUUAGGAGGAACACCAGUGGCGAAGGCGGCCUGCUGGACGAUGACUGACGUUGAGGCUCGAAAGCGUGGGGAGCAAACAGG